RNAcentral lists this ribosomal RNA (498 nucleotides) under uncultured Micrococcus sp. RNAcentral's name for it is "bacterial SSU rRNA". It matches the Rfam family "Bacterial small subunit ribosomal RNA", at positions 1 to 514 of the family's 1533-position model. Lineage: Bacteria; Bacillati; Actinomycetota; Actinomycetes; Micrococcales; Micrococcaceae. The record is from RNAcentral.
UUAAGAGGUUUGGACCUGGCUCAGGAUGAACGCUGGCGGCGUGCUUAACACAUGCAAGUCGAACGAUGAAGCUCCAGCUUGCUGGGGUGGAUUAGUGGCGAACGGGUGAGUAACACGUGAGUAACCUGCCCUUGACUCUGGGAUAAGCCUUGGAAACGGGGUCUAAUACCGGAUAGGAGCAUUCACCGCAUGGUGGGUGUUGGAAAGAAUUUCGGUCUUGGAUGGACUCGCGGCCCAUCAGCUUGUUGGUGAGGUAAUGGCUCACCAAGGCGACGACGGGUAGCCGGCCUGAGAGGGUGACCGGCCACACUGGGACUGAGACACGGCCCAGACUCCUACGGGAGGCAGCAGUGGGGAAUAUUGCACAAUGGGCGCAAGCCUGAUGCAGCGACGCCGCGUGAGGGAUGACGGCCUUCGGGUUGUAAACCUCUUUCAGUAGGGAAGAAGCUUAAUAUGUGACGGUACCUGCAGAAGAAGCACCGGCUAACUACUCAGCGA